RNAcentral lists this ribosomal RNA (313 nucleotides) under uncultured bacterium. RNAcentral's name for it is "bacterial SSU rRNA". It matches the Rfam family "Bacterial small subunit ribosomal RNA", at positions 28 to 334 of the family's 1533-position model. The record is from RNAcentral.
GACGAACGCUGGCGGCGUGCCUAACACAUGCAAGUCGAACGGAGUUGAAAGGAGCUUGCUUUUUUCAACUUAGUGGCGGACGGGUGAGUAACGCGUGAGUAACCUGCCUUUCAGAGGGGGAUAACGUUCUGAAAAGAACGCUAAUACCGCAUAAGCCCACAGCUCGGCAUCGAGCAGAGGGAAAAGGAGUGAUCCGCUUUGAGAUGGCCUCGCGUCCGAUUAGCUAGUUGGUGAGGUAACGGCCCACCAAGGCAACGAUCGGUAGCCGGACUGAGAGGUUGAACGGCCACAUUGGGACUGAGACACGGCCCAG